UGGAGGCAGCAGUGAGGAAUAUUGGACAAUGGGCGCAAGCCUGAUCCAGCCAUGCCGCGUGGAUGAUGAAGGCCCUAGGGUUGUAAAGUCCUUUCGGCGGGGAAGAUAAUGACGGUACCCGCAGAAGAAGCCCCGGCUAACUUCGUGCCAGCAGCCGCGGUAAUACGAAGGGGGCUAGCGUUGCUCGGAAUCACUGGGCGUAAAGCGCACGUAGGCGGCUUUUUAAGUCAGGGGUGAAAUCCUGGAGCUCAACUCCAGAACUGCCUUUGAUACUGAGAAGCUUGAGUCCGGGAGAGGUGAGUGGAACUGCGAGUGUAGAGGUGAAAUUCGUAGAUAUUCGCAAGAACAUCAGUGGCGAAGGCGGCUCACUGGCCCGGUACUGACGCUGAGGUGCGAAAGCGUGGGGAGCAAACAGGAUUAGAUACCCUAGUAGUCC
Molecule: ribosomal RNA, 436 nt
Filed under: uncultured bacterium
Lineage: Bacteria
Description: bacterial SSU rRNA
Rfam family: Bacterial small subunit ribosomal RNA
Source: RNAcentral